RNAcentral lists this ribosomal RNA (502 nucleotides) under uncultured bacterium. Its description in RNAcentral is "bacterial SSU rRNA". It matches the Rfam family "Bacterial small subunit ribosomal RNA", at positions 355 to 871 of the family's 1533-position model. The record is from RNAcentral.
UGGGGAAUCUUGGACAAUGGGGGCAACCCUGAUCCAGCCAUGCCGCGUGAGUGAUGAAGGCCUUAGGGUCGUAAAGCUCUUUCGCCUGUGAAGAUAAUGACGGUAGCAGGUAAAGAAACCCCGGCUAACUCCGUGCCAGCAGCCGCGGUAAUACGGAGGGGGUUAGCGUUGUUCGGAAUUACUGGGCGUAAAGCGCACGUAGGCGGACCAGAAAGUUGGGGGUGAAAUCCCGGGGGCUCAACCCCGGAACUGCCUCCAAAACUAUUGGUCUAGAGUUCGAGAGAGGUGAGUGGAAUUCCAAGUGUAGAGGUGAAAUUCGUAGAUAUUUGGAGGAACACCAGUGGCGAAGGCGGCUCACUGGCUCGAUACUGACGCUGAGGUGCGAAAGUGUGGGGAGCAAAACAGGAUUAGAUACCCUGGUAGUCCACGCCGUAAAACGAUGUCUGCUAGUCGUUGGGGGGCGUAGCCCUUCAGUGACGCCGCUAACGCAUUAAGCAGACCG